Molecule: ribosomal RNA, 442 nt
Filed under: uncultured Myxococcales bacterium
Lineage: Bacteria; Pseudomonadati; Myxococcota; Myxococcia; Myxococcales
Description: bacterial SSU rRNA
Rfam family: Bacterial small subunit ribosomal RNA
Source: RNAcentral
CGGGGGGCAGCAGUGGGGAAUAUUGCGCAAUGGGCGAAAGCCUGACGCAGCCACGCCGCGUGAGUGAUGAAGGCCUUCGGGUUGUAAAGCUCUGUCGGGAGGGAAGACGGCCGCAAGGCCUGACGGUACCUCGCAAGAAAGCACCGGCUAACUCUGUGCCAGCAGCCGCGGUAAUACAGAGGGUGCAAGCGUUGCUCGGAUUUACUGGGCGUAAAGCGUACGCAGACGGUUUGGUAGGUCGGGUGUGAAAGCCCAGGGCUCAACCCUGGAAAUGCACUCGAAACCACCUCACUUGAGUAUAGGAGAGGGAAGCAGAAUUCCUGGUGUAGAGGUGAAAUUCGUAGAUAUCAGGAGGAAUACCAGUGGCGAAGGCGGCUUCCUGGCCUAUUACUGACGUUCAGGUACGAAAGCGUGGGUAGCAAACAGGAUUAGAUACCCCGGU